UACAGAGGCGGCAAGCGUUGUUCGGAAUUACUGGGCGUAAAGGGCGCGUAGGCGGUCUUGUAAGUCCCGUGUGAAAGCCCCCGGCUCAACUGGGGAACGGCACGGGAAACUGCGAGGCUUGAGUUCGGGAGAGGGAAGCGGAAUUCCGGGUGUAGCGGUGAAAUGCGUAGAUAUCCGGAGGAACACCAGUGGCGAAGGCGGCUUCCUGGACCGAUACUGACGCUGAGGAGCGAAAGCUAGGGGAGCAAACGGG
RNAcentral lists this ribosomal RNA (253 nucleotides) under uncultured bacterium. Its description in RNAcentral is "partial 16S ribosomal RNA". It matches the Rfam family "Bacterial small subunit ribosomal RNA", at positions 524 to 776 of the family's 1533-position model. The record is from RNAcentral.